Molecule: long non-coding RNA, 424 nt
Organism: Fundulus heteroclitus (mummichog)
Lineage: Eukaryota; Metazoa; Chordata; Actinopteri; Cyprinodontiformes; Fundulidae
Exons: 3
Source: RefSeq, a predicted model, not a curated record
AUCCUAUUCCCCUGCAUCUGCUUUCCACGCUAUGCAUGCUUCAACCUCUUGUUGCUGUCUCUGCUACCGCCCUGUGCCUGCUUGGAAAUGAUGUUGCACUUCAAGUUUACAGCUUUGUAUGUCAGGUUUUGGGUGAAAUUAACUCCUUUCCCCCCAAGUUUUUCUCUGUUUUGCAAGCUAUGCAAGGUGACACACAUAAGAUUGUGCUUGAAGAACAUCAAGAUUAACCUGGUAGACCUGGAAGGCAACCCACCAUUUGCAGCAAGGUGAUAUUGGGUACUGAGGUGUGUCAAGAGGUCUGUCUCAAUAUUCAGAGCUUUUGUGAAGAAUUUGCACUGGACUAAGUAUUACCGUGGACUGAAGGAAUGACCAGAUAGCCCUGUGACUGGCCAUAGUGUUCAGUUGGGCUUGUCAACCCACGCUG